Molecule: ribosomal RNA, 279 nt
Filed under: uncultured bacterium
Lineage: Bacteria
Description: partial 16S ribosomal RNA
Rfam family: Bacterial small subunit ribosomal RNA
Source: RNAcentral
UGCCAGCCGCCGCGGUAAUACGGAGGGUGCGAGCGUUAAUCGGAAUUACUGGGCGUAAAGGGCGUGUAGGUGGUUAAAUAAGUUAGAAGUGAAAUCUCCGGGCUUAACUUGGAGGGGUCUUCUGAUACUGUUUAACUUGAGUCUAGGAGAGGGGAGUGGAAUUUCCGGAGUAGCGGUGAAAUGCGUAGAUAUCGGAAGGAACACCAGUGGCGAAGGCGACUCUCUGGCCUAAGACUGACACUGAGGCGCGAAAGCGUGGGAAGCGAACAGGAUUAGAUA